AACGAACGCUGGCGGCAUGCCUAACACAUGCAAGUCGAACGAGACCUUCGGGCCUAGUGGCGCACGGGUGCGUAACGCGUGGGAACCUGCCCUUAGGUUCGGAAUAACUCCCCGAAAGGGGUGCUAAUACCGGAUAAUGUCUUCGGACCAAGGAGUUAGGGCAUUUGGAUGGGCCGUGUUGGGUUUGGUCGGUGGUAGGGGAAAAGCCUACCAAGGCGACGGUGCAUGGCUGGGUGGAGAGGAAGAGCAGCCACACUGGGACUGAGACACGGGCCAGACGCCGACGCGAGGCAGCAGUGGGGAAUAUUGGAGAAUGGGCGAAAGCCUGAUCCAGCAAUGCCGGGUGAGUGAUGAAGGCCGUAGGGUUGUAAAGCUCUUUUACCCGGGAUGAUAAUGACGGUACCGGGAGAAUAAGCACCGGCUAACUCCGUG
This 432-nucleotide ribosomal RNA is filed under the name uncultured bacterium. RNAcentral's name for it is "partial 16S ribosomal RNA". It matches the Rfam family "Bacterial small subunit ribosomal RNA", at positions 29 to 507 of the family's 1533-position model. The record is from RNAcentral.